This 393-nucleotide ribosomal RNA is filed under the name uncultured bacterium. Its description in RNAcentral is "partial 16S ribosomal RNA". It matches the Rfam family "Bacterial small subunit ribosomal RNA", at positions 28 to 417 of the family's 1533-position model. The record is from RNAcentral.
GGCGAACGCUUGCGGCGUGCCUAAAAAAUGCAAGUCGAGCGGGGCUUUUGGCUUCGGCUUCAAGUCUAGCGGCGAACGGUCGCGUAACACGUAAGCAACCUGCCCCCAAGACCGGGACAACGUUCCGAAAGGAGCGCUAAUACCGGAUGUGGCCCUCUCUGGGCAUCCAGAGAGGAUUAAACCAGGCAACUGGCUUGGGGAUGGGCUUGCGGCCUAUCAGCUUGUUGGUGGGGUAACGGCCUACCAAGGCUUCGACGGGUAGCUGGUCUGAGAGGAUGGUCAGCCGGACUGGGACUGAGAUACGGCCCAGACUCCUACGGGGGGCAGCAAUUAGGAAUCUUGCGCAAUGGGCGAAAGCCUGACGCAGCGACGCCGCGUGGAGGAGGACGGCCU